Molecule: unclassified non-coding RNA, 376 nt
Filed under: soil metagenome
Description: partial contains 5.8S ribosomal RNA, internal transcribed spacer 2, and large subunit ribosomal RNA
Rfam family: 5.8S ribosomal RNA (bases 1-120)
Source: RNAcentral
GAUGAAGAACGCAGCGAAAUGCGAUAAGUAAUGUGAAUUGCAGAAUUCAGUGAAUCAUCGAAUCUUUGAACGCAUCUUGCGCUCCUUGGUAUUCUGAGGAGCAUGCCUGUUUGAGUGUCAUUAAAUUCUCAACUACACUGACUUUGAAUUGGUGUGGCUUGGAUUUGGGGGGAAAAUUGUUGUGGGCUUUUUGUAUAGUCUGCUCCCCUGAAAUUGAUUAGCGGUACCUUUGUGGAACUGUCUACAGGUGUGAUAAUUAUCUACAUCUUAGACAUCUGCUGGAAUGCUGCUUUCUAAACCUUACUUGUAUUGACAAUCUUGACCUCAAAUCAGGUAGGACUACCCGCUGAACUUAAGCAUAUCUAUAAGCGGAGGA